This 868-nucleotide ribosomal RNA is filed under the name uncultured archaeon. Its description in RNAcentral is "bacterial SSU rRNA". It matches the Rfam family "Archaeal small subunit ribosomal RNA", at positions 63 to 922 of the family's 1478-position model. The record is from RNAcentral.
UGCAGCAAUGCAAGGCAGACGGCUCACUAACACGUAGUCAACCUAACCUAUGGAACGGGGAUAACCUCGGGAAACUGAGAAUAAUACCCGAUAGAUCAUGAUACCUGGAACGGUUUAUGGUUCAAAUGAUUUAUCGCCAUAGGAUGGGACUGCGGUCUAUCAGCUUGUUGGUGAGGUAAUGGCCCCACCAAGGCUAUAACAGAUACGGGCUCUGAGAGGAGGGGCCCGGAGAUGGGUACUGAGACACGGAACCCAGGUCCUAUGGGGCGCAGCAGGCGAGAAACCUUUGCAAUGUGCGAAAGCACGACAAGGUUAAUCCGAGUGAUUCCUGCUAAAGGAAUCUUUUGUUAGUCAUAAAACCACUGAUGAAUAAGGGGUGGGCAAGUUCUGGUGUCAGCCGCCGCGGUAAUACCAGCACCUCGUAGUGGUCAGGAGGUUUAUUGGGCCUAAAGCAUCCGUAGCCGGCUGCUCAAGUUUCCGGUUAAAUCACACGCUUAACGUUAUGGGCUGCCGGAAAUACUGUUCAAGCUAGGGAGUGGGAGAAGGUAGACGGUACUCUGAUAGGAAGGGGUAAAAUCCUUUUGAUCUAUUUGAUGACCACCUGUGGCGAAGGCGGUCUACCAGAACACGUUCGACGGUUGAGGGAUGAAAGCUGGGGGAGCAAACCGGAUUAGAUACCCGGGUAGUCCCAGCUGUAAACGAUGCAGACUCGGUGAUGCAUUGGCUUAUGGCCAGUGCAGUGCCGCAGGGAAGCCGUUAAGUUUGCCGCCUGGGAAGUGGCGUACGCAAGUAUGAAACUUAAAGGAAUUGGCGGGGGAGCGCCACAAGGGGUGAAGCCUGACGGUUCAUUCAUGGAGUCAACGCCGGA